CCUACGGGUGGCAGCAGUGAGGAAUAUUGGUCAAUGGACGGAAGUCUGAACCAGCCAUGCCGCGUGCAGGAAGACGGCUCUAUGAGUUGUAAACUGCUUUUGUACAAGGGUAAACCUGAAUACGUGUAUUCAGCUGAAAGUACUUUACGAAUAAGGAUCGGCUAACUCCGUGCCAGCAGCCGCGGUAAUACGGAGGAUCCAAGCGUUAUCCGGAUUUAUUGGGUUUAAGGGGUGCGUAGGCGGAUUGAUAAGUUAGAGGUGAAAUGUCCGAGCUUAACUCGGGAACUGCCUCUAAUACUGUUGAGCUAGAGAGUAGAUGCGGUAGGCGGAAUGUAUGGUGUAGCGGUGAAAUGCUUAGAGAUCAUACAGAACACCGAUUGCGAAGGCAGCUCACCAAGAUAUAUCUGACGUUGAGGCACGAAAGCGUGGGGAGCAAACAGGAUUAGAUACCCCUGUAGUC
RNAcentral lists this ribosomal RNA (460 nucleotides) under uncultured bacterium. RNAcentral describes it as "partial 16S ribosomal RNA". It matches the Rfam family "Bacterial small subunit ribosomal RNA", at positions 338 to 795 of the family's 1533-position model. The record is from RNAcentral.